AAACAGUGGAUAAAUACCUUGAAAGAAAGGAUGCUAGCUCUGGGACGAAACUGACACCCGAAGAAGAAGAAGAAGAAGAAAAACUUAGAUACGGUCCUUGUGGAUGUUGUGGAAAGGAGAAACACCGCGCAACUGAAAAUUGCCCUUCUGGAAUGUGAGGUAAACACAUUUGUAAUAUUUAACUUAUGUCCGUCUUUUGUUCAAAAACAAAAACAAAAACUUAUGUCAGUCUUUUAGAACAAGAAGCCUUAUUAUUAAUCAAGUGCCGUUGAGGUCGGUGGUUUUUAACGAUCGAUGUAUGUAUCAAUGGCGAUUGAUUUGGUGUUCGAAUGAAAAGUUUGUGUGAAUUAGCAUAUGAUUUAUGCUUUAAUUUGGGUGGCCGAGUGGCCGGUGCGAUGAAGCCGGAAUAAAUAUUUCAAAUUUCUGAGAGUGACUCCUCCAACCCCCGACAGUGUGAGUGUGAUCGACAUCCGAUUGCCUACGGUUUCGGCACUAUCGGCCAAGCAACUGUAUAACAUUGGUGAUCCUAAUUGCAAACUUGCCACCCAAGUAACUGCAUUUGUAUGUUCUCGAUCGGGUUUCCUAGAUUAAAUGAAGGAUGAAUGCCGCGUCUACCCAUCUGGACAUUGAUGAGAGUUUGAAAACAUUAAACCAUAUCUCAAAUGGAUAACCUCAAAUGGAUGGUCUCAAAACAAAAUAAAAAUCGUAUACUGGCAUAAUUCCUAUGCCUUGGGAUGACAAAGAAAAUACCCCAUCUAAGCACUAUCUUUUUGUUGCCUACCCUUGGACAAAGCGGUCUCUGUUGAGAGAAUUAAUCUCAGAGAAAGAAAAAAUUUACAUGUGAUUAUAAGUAAUUGAACUACUUUUUAUAUUGUUGCAAAUUGGUUUUAUUGUUUGCAACUUUGGGACCAAAGUUUCCAAGCUCUCUUGGCAACUAUCUUCAUUUACGUCUAAUCUUAAAACGCUUUAAUCUUAACAACGAUUGAGCAAACUGUAGCAUGUAGAUUGUAGAGCCAUUUAAAUGGCAAACUUUUAUUUUUCGAAAACAACCCAUGUACCAAUCUUCGAGUUUUCUCUACAUCAUAUCUCCCCGUAAGGAAAGAAAGCUGAAUAAUUGAUGAUUGACUUGUUUUGUACAUGGAUUUCUAAGAACAUGCAUAAAGCAAAGGCACACACAUCUCCUGUUGUUUUGCUGACUAAAUAGGUAAGCAAAAUUUGAAGUGUUUAACGUUGGAAUUUAGGGUACUUAGGCAUUGCCUUGCCAAUAAGUUGAAUGCUUUUUGUGUUUUGAUGCGCAGGAGAGCAUCCCUCAUAACGCUAUUGACAUGAAACCUUGUUUGAUUUGUAAUGUUUCUGCUUGCAUUUGGGUCAGCAAAAUUUGUAACGCGCAAGCGAUCGGUUGCAGGCGGAGCAGAAGACAUGAUCAUCAGACUUUUGAAUUGGGAGAAAGGUCUGAUGUGUACUCGGAUAUUCGAAGGGCAUUGAUCUCACUAUGUGAUGCAAGUUUUGUGUGACUUGAAAUUCAGUGUUUGUGUGGAAGAUGGUGUAAGCGGGAUGGGAUGGAACUGUCAGAAGAAUAUGGCAUCCAACUACCUAAUACGUAAGUUUUUAAAAUUCCAAAUGUAUGCUGAAGCUAUUGAUUUCUUAUCAAGUUUAGGAUUUAAUGCAUGAACUCAACCACUUCCCAUGCUGCCUAAUUAUGACCAGCUCCAACAAUGACCGUCCUCCCUAAGAGUUUUACUUUAUCAUAAAUAUCUGUCACUGAAUACAAGUAGGAAAUAAAAGUCCUGCACCAUACAAAACAAAUAGAGGAGAUGAACAAAAAACCAUAUCCAGAUUACCUAUUUGAAUCUCUUUAUUACGUACUUUAGUUGCAAUCCUGGAAUCCAAUGCUAAGAGUACACAUACCAUCAGAGAAAAACAUUGUAAUGAUGGUUGUUCUUUUUGAUUUUGAUAUUGGGACCAUAGAAGAAAACUGCAACACAAAGAUAUGAUUUUGGAAAUCUUAAUUUCAAAAGAUAGCAUACAACCCCCACUACCAGCUUUUCACACAUUUAGGUUUUUUUUAUUUUUUUAUUUUUAUUUUUUUACCAAUGUCCUUUUGCAGUUUCCCAAAAAAAAAACAUAGAAACUAACUUUUAAAUUCAUGAUAUCAGUUAGUAAAGAAAAAAAAAACUUCAAUACAUGGGAAUUUUAAAGUUACCUCUUGAAAUUUUUGCUGGUGGAUACAUGGUCGCUGUAUUUCGUGAUACUUACAACAAAAAUUUCAAGAGGUGACUUUAAAAUUCCCAUGUAUUGAAGUUUUUGUUUUCUUUACUUACUGAUAUCAUGAAUUUAAAAGUUAGUUUCUAUGUUUUUUUUUCUUUGGAAAACUGCAAAAGGACAUUGGUAAAAAAAAUACCUAAAUAUGUGAAAAGUUGGUACUAGGGUUUGUAUGCUAUGUUUCAAAAAUAAGAUUUCCAAAAUCAUAUAUUUCUUUUGCAGGUUUUUCUUCUAUGGUCCCAAUAUCAAAAUCAAAAGGAACAACCAUCAUUACAAUGAUUUUCUCUGAUGGUAUGUAUACUCCUAGCAUUGGAUUCCAGGAUUGCAACUGAAGUACGUAAUAAAGAGAUUCAAAUAGGUAAUCUGGAUAUGGUUUUUCCUUUAUCUCCUCUAUUUGUUUUGGAUGGUGCAUGACUUUUAUUUACUACUUGUAUUUUCAGUCAUAGAUAUUUACGAUAAAGUAAAAAUCUUAGGGAGGACGGUCAUUGUUGGGGCUGGUCAUAAUGAGGUAGCAUGGGAAGUGGUUGGGUUCAUGCAUUCAAUCCUAAACUUGAUAAGAAAUCAAUAGCUUCAGCAUACAUUUGUGCAAUUGAAUUUUUUAAAACUUACCUAUUAGCUGGUUGGAUGCCAUAUUCUUCUGAGAGUUCCAUCCCAUUUAUAAUCUGGAAUACAUCCUCGGGCAGCAAUCGUACUUUCUGGAAUAAUAGAAGUUCAAAGAUAACUCUCUCUAUUCUCUCAUCUCUUCUUCCUCUCUUUGAUGUUGUCUUCAUAAUUCCCUCUCUUCUUAAUGUGUGUUCUCUUCUUACACUUUGGCCUUCCUUAUAUAGGCAAAUGAAUAGGCAAAAUGUUAAAUCAAAACCUAC
RNAcentral lists this long non-coding RNA (3125 nucleotides) under Malus domestica (apple). RNAcentral describes it as "long non-coding RNA (MDOM_LNC017124)". The record is from RNAcentral. Lineage: Eukaryota; Viridiplantae; Streptophyta; Magnoliopsida; Rosales; Rosaceae.